RNAcentral lists this long non-coding RNA (1151 nucleotides) under Salmo salar (Atlantic salmon). RNAcentral's name for it is "lncRNA (ENSSSAG00000115365.1)". Lineage: Eukaryota; Metazoa; Chordata; Actinopteri; Salmoniformes; Salmonidae. The record is from RNAcentral.
UCCCUGUACCCUACCGCUCUGGUCCCUGCCCCUACCGCUCUGGUCCCCUACCGCUCUGGUUCCCUGUACCCUACCGCUCUGGUCCCCUGUACCCUACCGCUCUGGUCCCCUACCGCUCUGGUCCCCUACCGCUCUGGUCCCCUGUACCCUACCGCUCUGGUUCCCUGUCCCCUACCGCUCUGGUUCCCUGUCCCCUACCGCUCUGGUUCCCUGUCCCCUACCGCUCUGGUUCCCUGUACCCUACCGCUCUGGUCCCCUGUACCCUACCGCUCUGGUCCCCUGUCCCCUACCGCUCUGGUUCCCUGUACCCUACCGCUCUCUCUCCUCCCCUGACUGUUGCUUUUUGCAUUUUAAAACACAAAUCGUGACAUGACCCAGUAACGCCCCCCCAAAAAAAAAGUAAUUCAGGGUCUUCAUGAUGGAAUUUGUUUAACAGAAAUGAAAGACCACUAUUUUCCUCCCAAAUCAAAAUCACUGCCUUGCAUUGUAGUUUGACUGUAAAUGAUCUGUGGUGACUGAGAUGGGCAGGGUUGGUCCUGUAACCUCUAUCUGGCUUUAAGGGAAAGGGGUCACCUGAGUUUUUAUUAUUUUUAUUAUUAUUUUCUUUCACUCUUUUUCAUGUGUUUUUGUUUCCUAUUUUUCUUUUGGGACGGACUAGGAUCAUCUGCUCUGUUUCCUGUUUUGUUUGUUAACCCCCCCCCCCAGUGACCCAUUAGAGUGGUGGCAGAGGGAGAGGUGUAGUCGUUCUGGUAUAGCUGUCAUGGGAGCACUUUGUGUGAUGAAUAAAGAUGUAAAAACCUGGCACGUCUCCUCUUCUCUGUUCACUCGAGGGUUUCUGUUGCAGGAGACGUGAGGCAACGCUAGCCUGGUCCCAGAUCUGUUUGUGCCGUCUUGUCACGUCCUAUGGUCUGUGUAAAGACCACACAAACAUGUGGGGACCAGGCUUGUAAAAAUCAUGUCUUGGGGAAAUCUAGAAAUGUACUGGAGAGUGUGGUGAUUUACAUAAUGGUUCACCCAGGGCUAGGGAUGGCUCACCCAGGGCUAGGGAUGGCUCACCCAGGGCUAGGGAUGGCUCACCCAGGGCUAGGGAUGGCUCACCCAGGGCUAGGGAUGGCUCAAGUCAUUUUGAUGUCGUAACGCUGUUUAUUUAC